RNAcentral lists this ribosomal RNA (500 nucleotides) under uncultured bacterium. RNAcentral's name for it is "partial 16S ribosomal RNA". It matches the Rfam family "Bacterial small subunit ribosomal RNA", at positions 899 to 1397 of the family's 1533-position model. The record is from RNAcentral.
ACUCAAAUGAAUUGACGGGGGCCUGCACAAGCGGUGGAACAUGUGGUUUAAUUCGACGCAACGCGAAGAACCUUACCUACUCUUGACAUCUUCGGAAUCUGCUAGAGAUAGCGGAGUGCCUUCGGGAACCGAAAGACAGGUGCUGCAUGGCUGUCGUCAGCUCGUGUCGUGAGAUGUUGGGUUAAGUCCCGUAACGAGCGCAACCCUUGUCCUUAGUUGCCAACAGGUAAAGCUGGGAACUCUAAGGAGACUGCCGGUGACAAGCCGGAGGAAGGUGGGGAUGACGUCAAGUCCUCAUGGCCCUUACGAGUAGGGCUACACACGUGUUACAAUGGGCAGUACAACGGGAAGCGAAACCGCGAGGUGGAGCGAAUCUUAUUAAAGCUGCUCGUAGUCCGGAUUGGAGUCUGCAACUCGACUCCAUGAAGUUGGAAUCGCUAGUAAUCGUGGAUCAGAACGCCACGGUGAAUACGUUCUCGGGCCUUGUACACACCGCCCGU